UUGAACGCUGGCGGCAGGCUUAACACAUGCAAGUCGAGCGGUAGCACAGGGGAGCUUGCUCCCUGGGUGACGAGCGGCGGACGGGUGAGUAAUGUCUGGGAAACUGCCUGAUGGAGGGGGAUAACUACUGGAAACGGUAGCUAAUACCGCAUAACGUCGCAAGACCCAAGAGGGGGACCUUCGGGCCUCUUGCCAUCAGAUGUGCCCAGAUGGGAUUAGCUAGUAGGUGGGGUAAUGGCUCACCUAGGCGACGAUCCCUAGCUGGUCUGAGAGGAUGACCAGCCACACUGGAACUGAGACACGGUCCAGACUCCUACGGGAGGCAGCAGUGGGGAAUAUUGCACAAUGGGCGCAAGCCUGAUGCAGCCAUGCCGCGUGUGUGAAGAAGGCCUUCGGGUUGUAAAGCACUUUCAGCGAGGAGGAAGGUGGUGAGCUUAAUACGCUCAUCAAUUGACGUUACUCGCAGAAGAAGCACCGGCUAACUCCGUG
This 489-nucleotide ribosomal RNA is filed under the name uncultured bacterium. Its description in RNAcentral is "partial 16S ribosomal RNA". It matches the Rfam family "Bacterial small subunit ribosomal RNA", at positions 30 to 507 of the family's 1533-position model. The record is from RNAcentral.